Oncorhynchus tshawytscha (Chinook salmon) is the source of this 517-nucleotide long non-coding RNA. RefSeq lists it as uncharacterized. The record is from RefSeq and is a predicted model, not a curated record. Lineage: Eukaryota; Metazoa; Chordata; Actinopteri; Salmoniformes; Salmonidae. The transcript has 4 exons.
CCAAGGAAGCAUUUGAACAGUUUUACUGUUCUUCAGGCAGUAGUUGGGAGUAAAUCUGGGGCUUCUGCUAUGGUGUGUAGGUGUGAACAUCAACAUCUGAUCUUGAAUCCUACCAGAACCAUAUUCUGAUUUACGCCAGCAAGCGUCUUUCCAUUUCACCGCCAGUCUAUGAAGGCAGAACACUGCUGGGAGCACUAGAUUACAACUUCUGCAAGGACAGACCAGCCAGGCAGAAUGCAGAUUGAAUCCAGAUAUUUUGAGGAAUAUAGUGGAGGGGAUGCCAUGGAAAAGAACCCUAAUUCCCGAAGACCCUAGAAGACUUGGACUCCUGCCCCGUAUUCCUCAACCAACAACUGAAGAACGUGUGCAAUCACAAGUGAGAAGAGGCCUAGCGUUGGGUGAACCUCGAGACCAUGCAGGAGCUCCAGAAACCUCAUCAAGCUCAGCAACCCUGUGAGAAACACAGGUACCGACCCACAUACAGUACCAGUUCAAAGUUUGGACACACCAACUCAUU